Molecule: ribosomal RNA, 113 nt
Filed under: Klebsiella aerogenes
Lineage: Bacteria; Pseudomonadati; Pseudomonadota; Gammaproteobacteria; Enterobacterales; Enterobacteriaceae
Source: RNAcentral
GGCGGCAAUAGCGCGGUGGUCCCACCUGACCCCAUGCCGAACUCAGAAGUGAAACGCCGUAGCGCCGAUGGUAGUGUGGGGUCUCCCCAUGUGAGAGUAGGGAACUGCCAGGC